This 220-nucleotide unclassified non-coding RNA is filed under the name plant metagenome. Its description in RNAcentral is "partial contains small subunit ribosomal RNA, internal transcribed spacer 1, and 5.8S ribosomal RNA". The record is from RNAcentral.
UUUCCGUAGGUGAACCUGCGGAAGGAUCAUUACAGAGUUCAUGCCCUCACGGGUAGAUCUCCCACCCUUGAAUAUUUAUACCUUAGUUGCUUUGGCAGGCCGUGGAAACACCAUGGGCUCCGGCUUAUGCGUGCCUGCCAGAGGAAACAAACUCUGUUUUUAGUGAUGUCUGAGUACUAUAUAAUAGUUAAAACUUUCAACAACGGGUCUCUUGGUUCUG